RNAcentral lists this long non-coding RNA (741 nucleotides) under Homo sapiens (human). RNAcentral describes it as "HSALNT0076178". The record is from RNAcentral. Lineage: Eukaryota; Metazoa; Chordata; Mammalia; Primates; Hominidae.
UGGAGUUUAUUUGCAUUUAUGACCAGAUGCUUGGAAACUAACUAUUAUUGCUGUGAUUGUUGUUGAACUUUUAAUGAAUUACAUGCUGCACCAAUUUUAGCGGACCGUAAUUUCUUCUCUAAAAGUACAAAUGUGUGAAAAUUACAACAAAAUGGAAAUGCUGACAGAUGUUCAGCUAAAGUAUCACUACCUUGGACUUAUUCCAUAUUGUGUUUUCAAGCCCUGUUUUUCUCCUCAGAUAGUUUAAGAAAACCUCUAAACAACUCUUGAAAUGACAGUACAUCUUCAAUAAGAUCUCUCAUGAAUUCUGCACAUUUUAAUUCUCAAAUUAUGUUAAAUGUCUAGAUCCACUCUAGGAUGACUAAAUAUAUAGAACUAAGUAAUACAAUUUACUAAAAAGAAUUGCUCCCUCUAGUGAAGUCACAAUAUUAUUUCAUUUCCUGGCACUCCUGUACUGAGUAAUUUAAUAAAUGUUAUAAGUGAUGAUGACUAUUAUGUUGAUGAUAGUGGUCUGGCCUACUUUUGUGAUAUUAAAUUUUAAUGUUUUCUGUGCUUGAAAACAGGAAAGUUAAUAAUGGUUGAUUACAGCUGUUUACUGGAUAUUUUAGAACAUUACAUUUAAAAACUCUGUGUUGAAAAAGUAAUUUAUUUCUAAAACUCUUGAGAUUAUUUCUGAAACACUAUUGGUACUAUGUGAUGUUGAGGCCUAUGACAAAGUUGACAUUAGCAGAGUAAAGAGGG